This 261-nucleotide long non-coding RNA is filed under the name Vigna radiata. Its description in RNAcentral is "long non-coding RNA (VRAD_LNC017875)". Lineage: Eukaryota; Viridiplantae; Streptophyta; Magnoliopsida; Fabales; Fabaceae. The record is from RNAcentral.
UUUUCUUCUUUCAUAAAAAUAAUUAAAAAAAUACGUUUUAAAGGUUUAAGCACGUGUAUGAUCGCACGCAUCAUCCUCGUGCUAAGACCUUUUCCCCUUUCAUAAAAAAAUAAAAAUAAAAAUGUUUUAAAGGUUUAAGCACGUGUGUGAUCGCACGCAUCGUCCUCGUGUUAAGACCUUCUCCCUUUUUAUAAAAAUAAAAUAAAGUAUGUUUUAAAGGUUUGAGCACAUGUGUGAUCGCACACAUCGUCCUCGUGCUAA